RNAcentral lists this ribosomal RNA (253 nucleotides) under uncultured bacterium. RNAcentral's name for it is "partial 16S ribosomal RNA". It matches the Rfam family "Bacterial small subunit ribosomal RNA", at positions 524 to 776 of the family's 1533-position model. The record is from RNAcentral.
UACGGAGGGUGCAAACGUUACUCGGAAUUACUGGGCGUAAAGCGUGCGUAGGUGGUUUGUUAAGUCUGUUGUGAAAGCCCCGGGCUCAACCUGGGAAUGGCAAUGGAUACUGGCAAGCUAGAGUGCGGUAGAGGGUAGUGGAAUUCCCGGUGUAGCGGUGAAAUGCGUAGAGAUCGGGAGGAACACCAGUGGCGAAGGCGGCUACCUGGACCAGCACUGACACUGAGGCACGAAAGCGUGGGGAGCAAACAGG